Molecule: ribosomal RNA, 159 nt
Filed under: Hyaloscypha vraolstadiae
Lineage: Eukaryota; Fungi; Ascomycota; Leotiomycetes; Helotiales; Hyaloscyphaceae
Description: 5.8S ribosomal RNA
Rfam family: 5.8S ribosomal RNA
About the family: 5.8S ribosomal RNA (5.8S rRNA) is a component of the large subunit of the eukaryotic ribosome.
Source: RNAcentral
AACUUUCAACAACGGAUCUCUUGGUUCUGGCAUCGAUGAAGAACGCAGCGAAAUGCGAUAAGUAAUGUGAAUUGCAGAAUUCAGUGAAUCAUCGAAUCUUUGAACGCACAUUGCGCCCUUUGGUAUUCCGAGGGGCAUGCCUGUUCGAGCGUCAUUAUA